CUGGCUCAGGAUGAACGCUAGCGGCAGGCUUAACACAUGCAAGUCGAGGGGCAGCGGAGAGUAGCAAUACUCUGCCGGCGACCGGCGAAAGGGUGCGUAACGCGUGAGCAACUUGCCCGUAUCCGGGACAUAAGCGGUGGAAACGCCGUCUAAUUUCCCAUAACAACGAGGGCCGCAUGACCCAUGUUUGAAAGAUCCGUCGGAUACGGAUGGGCUCGCGAGACAUUAGCUAGUCGGCGUGGUAACGGCACACCGAGGCGACGAUGUCUAGGGGUUCUGAGAGGAAGGUCCCCCACCACUGGAACUGAGACACGGUCCAGACUCCUACGGGAGGCAGCAGUGAGGAAUAUUGGUCAAUGGGCGCAAGCCUGAACCAGCCAUGCCGCGUGAAGGAAUGAGGCCCCCUAUGGGUCGUAAACUUCUUUUGUGGUGGAGCAAUAAGGUGCACGUGUGCAUCGAUGAGAGUACAUCACGAAUAAGCAUCGGCUAACUCCGUGCCAGCCGCGGC
RNAcentral lists this ribosomal RNA (508 nucleotides) under uncultured bacterium. RNAcentral's name for it is "bacterial SSU rRNA". It matches the Rfam family "Bacterial small subunit ribosomal RNA", at positions 19 to 518 of the family's 1533-position model. The record is from RNAcentral.